This 484-nucleotide ribosomal RNA is filed under the name uncultured bacterium. RNAcentral's name for it is "bacterial SSU rRNA". It matches the Rfam family "Bacterial small subunit ribosomal RNA", at positions 28 to 526 of the family's 1533-position model. The record is from RNAcentral.
GACGAACGCUGGCGGCGUGCUUAACACAUGCAAGUCGAGCGGAAAGGCCCCUUUGGGGGUACUCGAGCGGCGAACGGGUGAGUAUCACGUGAGUAAUCUGCCCUUCACUUCGGGAUAGCUUCGGGAAACCGAGAUUAAUACCGGAUAUGACCACUCCAGGCAUCUGGUGGUGGUGGAAAGAUUUUUUGGUGGGGGAUGUGCUCGCGGCCUAUCAGCUUGUUGGUGGGGUAAUGGCCUACCAAGGCUUCGACGGGUAGCCGGCCUGAGAGGGUGACCGGCCACACUGGGACUGAGACACGGCCCAGACUCCUACGGGAGGCAGCAGUGGGGAAUAUUGCACAAUGGGCGAAAGCCUGAUGCAGCAACGCCGCGUGAGGGAUGACGGCCUUCGGGUUGUAAACCUCUUUCAGCAGGGACGAAGCGCAAGUGACGGUACCUGUAGAAGAAGGACCGGCCAACUACGUGCCAGCAGCCGCCGUAACAC